Long non-coding RNA from Lutra lutra (Eurasian river otter), 2411 nucleotides. RefSeq lists it as uncharacterized. The transcript is spliced from 4 exons. The record is from RefSeq and is a predicted model, not a curated record. Lineage: Eukaryota; Metazoa; Chordata; Mammalia; Carnivora; Mustelidae.
UCGAUUCUCCCCAAAUGGGACGCUGGCAGUGCGCUGUGCUCAACAGAGAUGCACUUUACUUCAACAGCUAACAGCUCAAGGGCUUUGAUAAAAAGAGGCUUAGAAGAGACUCCCGAGAUAAAGCAGGCCUGCUAACAAAAUGAACAGGAGGAGGAAGCACCCACCUCUGUCAAAGAGAAGUUAGUUUAUCCUUUCUGUCCAUGCUGCACAGAGAAGGGGAAGGUCAGAACAGAGAAUGGUAAGCCACAGGAAACUCCUGCAAGCUUUGGUGUGGUAAAGAGGGGCUGAGAUGAAUUCAGUGUCCUUUCCAUUCCUGUGGACUCUGCAGUCAAAGCCUCGUUAACAAGAUCAUGCCCAGAAACUCCAGAAGAGAUCUUGGGCCAUACAGAGGACAUCAUCAAAAAUACUGACUGCCCUGAAAUGGAAGAAGGGCCACUGUGCAUUACUGUUGAAGGAAAAGGUGGGCUGAGACAAAGUUCGUACUCCAGUGACAGACUGUCCACGACCCUCAGCACAGAAACGGCCUUUCACAAAUCUUCAGUUCUGCAGAGAAUCUCAGACUUAAUCUUAGCCAUCCGCAACCCACAGUCCCAUAUCAAGCAACUUAAGAACUGCUUGACAGAAGGACACGGGAGUCACAUGCUCUAUGUUAUACGCCACGAGAAUGUCAGUCUCUUGAAAAACGAAUGAACUUGGUCUAAUUCUAACCGUACCUCCAGUUUUUAGGACAGUACCACAGAAAGUGCUCAAUAAAUAUUCUCCUAUGAAAGAAGAAAGGACUACCUGACUCUUAAACCAGAGCAUCUAGUUUUACCUCCCUUGCUUCCGACAAUAUUCAUCUUCUACAAGGAAAAGGAAUUAUCAAAAACAUUAUGAAGCUCUUUUUUCUCUUCACUUCCCAAACAACUCAGCCCUAAAGACAUCCAUCUGAUGGGUCCAAGGAAAGUAGGAGACUACAGUGUGUGGGGGUGGGGAGGGAGUCCCAUGGGAUGUUACAGCACACGUGACAUACAGAGGGCACCCACAGUGAAAAUAUUUUUUUUAAAGAUUUAUUUAUUUGACAGACAGAGAUCACAAGUAGGCAGAGAGGCAGGUGGAUAGAGAGAGAGAAGUAAGCAGGCUCCCUGCAGAGCAGAGAGCCCAAUGUGGGGCUCAAUCCCAAGACCCUGGGAUCCUGACCUAAGCCGAAGGCAGAGGCUUUAACCCACUGAGCCACCCAGGUGCCCCCAAAGAAAAUAUUAAUACAGGAGGUCAUGUAACCUCUCCAAGCUUUCAGUGUACAUAAAAUGUGCUGAGUCAUCAUUACCGACGUGACCACCAUGACACUUUAUUUCCAGCAGGGAUGUCCAACAGACCCCUGACAUUCAGUGACUACAUUCCCAGUUUUGACUGUUCGGUAGCUGCCUCCAACGAUGUGUGUAAUGGUCUGGAAGUUCGCUGAGGCACUAGCUAUAAUCGCAGCACUACAAGACUGGUGUACGGACUGCAUCAUUUACCUGAUCCAUGGCCCUGGUCAAUCACCUGGCCUAAUACCAUAACCUCCUGCCAGUCACCUUUAGCCAAAAUUCAGAACAAGGAAAUUGAGAAAGAACCGCUCUUAGGCAACUGGCCAUUUUCUGACGUUCAGUCCCAUCACAGUGCUGGGAAGAUGCUCUUCACUACUAUCUUUUCCAUCUGAUGGCCACUUCGAUAUGAAGGUAUUACACACUCCAGCCACCACUCCUGUGGAGGAGACACUAAGCCAGGUGCAAAACUGUCUGUCUGUUCUUUGGACCCUUACUUGGACUAUUUCUAUGCGACAAAGAGUGAGUAACAUUGGAAACCACAUCAGGGAGACAAUUCUGACAAGAUUUUCAGAGAGGAAAUACACAGUGAAUAUACUUUAAAAUAAGAUGGUUUUUUAGCUAACAAAAACAAUCUGUGAUUUCUCUCAAAUGUGUGGUUCACUGAUGGGGGGUUUCUGUUUCACCUGGUGUUGGCUAGAAUCUUCACAACAGCCACAGUCCUGUGGCUGGCUAUGGACUGGGAGCUCAGCUAGUGCAAAGGGCCUUCAGGCCUCCUCCAUGUGGGACUCCUUUCUCCACAUGGCCUGUGGAUCUCCUUAGAGCUCAGUGCAUGGAUCCUAAGAAGGAGCAUUCCAAGAGACAGCAAACAGAAGCCCAUCAGCCACUCAACAAAUCUUUAUCUUACUGAAUAAGGGCAUCAGCUUCUAAAGAAACCCUUACUUCACUUUUUCUUGUUUAUCUGGCAUAAAUCCAGUUCUAAGAAUGUGACAUAAUGGGGCCCUGCAUGGCUCAGUCAGUUAAAUGUCUGCCUUCAGCUCAGGUCACGAUCCCAGGGUCCUGGGAUCAAGCCCCACGUUGGGCUCCCUGCUCAGCAGCCAGUCUGCCUCUCCCUCUCCCUGCUGUUCU